GCUACACAUGCAGUCGAGCGGAUGAAGGUAGCUUGCUACUGGAUUCAGCGGCGGACGGGUGAGUAAUGCUUAGGAAUCUGCCUAUUAGUGGGGGACAACGUUCCGAAAGGGGCGCUAAUACCGCAUACGUCCUACGGGAGAAAGCAGGGGACCUUCGGGCCUUGCGCUAAUAGAUGAGCCUAAGUCGGAUUAGCUAGUUGGUAGGGUAAAGGCCUACCAAGGCGACGAUCUGUAGCGGGUCUGAGAGGAUGAUCCGCCACACUGGGACUGAGACACGGCCCAGACUCCUACGGGAGGCAGCAGUGGGGAAUAUUGGACAAUGGGGGGAACCCUGAUCCAGCCAUGCCGCGUGUGUGAAGAAGGCCUUUUGGUUGUAAAGCACUUUAAGCGAGGAGGAGGCUACCUAGAUUAAUACUUUAGGAUAGUGGACGUUACUCGCAGAAUAAGCACCGGCUAACUCUGUGCCAGCAGCCGCGGUAAUACAGAGGGUGCGAGCGUUAAUCGGAUUUACUGGGCGUAAAGCGUGCGUAGGCGGCCAAUUAAGUCAAAUGUGAAAUCCCCGAGCUUAACUUGGGAAUUGCAUUCGAUACUGGUUGGCUAGAGUAUGGGAGAGGAUGGUAGAAUUCCAGGUGUAGCGGUGAAAUGCGUAGAGAUCUGGAGGAAUACCGAUGGCGAAGGCAGCCAUCUGGCCUAAUACUGACGCUGAGGUACGAAAGCAUGGGGAGCAAACAGGAUUAGAUACCCUGGUAGUCCAUGCCGUAAACGAUGUCUACUAGCCGUUGGGGCCCUUGAGGCUUUAGUGGCGCAGCUAACGCGAUAAGUAGACCGCCUGGGGAGUACGGUCGCAAGACUA
RNAcentral lists this ribosomal RNA (853 nucleotides) under Acinetobacter sp. 29-1pA. RNAcentral describes it as "bacterial SSU rRNA". It matches the Rfam family "Bacterial small subunit ribosomal RNA", at positions 48 to 896 of the family's 1533-position model. The record is from RNAcentral. Lineage: Bacteria; Pseudomonadati; Pseudomonadota; Gammaproteobacteria; Moraxellales; Moraxellaceae.